Long non-coding RNA from Marmota monax (woodchuck), 4975 nucleotides. RefSeq lists it as uncharacterized. The record is from RefSeq and is a predicted model, not a curated record. NCBI's taxonomy places the organism in Eukaryota, Metazoa, Chordata, Mammalia, Rodentia, Sciuridae. The transcript has 2 exons.
CCGCACCGGUGCACCGGCCUGGCCCGCCGUCCCCUGCCCGCAGGCCUCGGCGCCUGCCCCGCCCUCCCAGUGUGCCUCCCCGCACCGGGGCCUCCGUCGCCGCGUCCCUGGCAGCCUCCCUCGCUCGCGCGACGCCUCUGCCCGCCUGCUCACCCGCGCGUCCCCACCGAGUCCCCACUGGGGCUCUCGGUCUUUCCCUAACACUCUGCUCCUCUCUGGGUGCGGGUCUGGCUCCAGUUUGGGGAGGUCUUGCUGGGAGCAGUCUUACGGAUAGACAGACAUCCCUUGGCCCAGACCCUCCCCGGCUUUCCUCGCUGGAGCGCACUUGCUUUCCCUCUGGGGCUGGAGUGCCCGCCCUCAAAGCGCAGGGUCCUUGCAGCCCAGGUGGGAACUGGCCAGCAGUCUGGCCUUUCCUCAAGGGAUCCACCCUGGCCAUCUGUGGGAGGAGGUGCUAAGUGGUGGACAGUCGGCCAAACAGUGCUUCAAAACCGCCCUGCCGAGUCCAUCGCAUCCGGAUCUUUGCCUUGCUGAACACUUGUAAUAACAGCCCUGCUGUUCUAGAAAAACAAUACCGACCAGCGCUCUGGCUUGGCAGUCUUCGCUCCAGCAGAGCUGAUGAGCGGGAUCCUAGCUGCAGCUCCCGGCUGGAGAAGGACGCAAAGCAGCCCCCUCCUCCCUGGAGCCCCCAGGUCUGGCUUGACAACUGCCACCCAGGUCCAGGAAGGCCUCCCUGGGCGGCUUCAGGCAGGGGAAUCCUGAAAAGGCCUCAGGGAGGUUGGGAGAGGGACAAUCCAGUGACACAGGCCUUUGGUGCUCAGAUCCCCUGCCACCCUGCUAAAGGCUUUUAAAAAGGAAAAGUGAGCUUCAGAGAAUAGGACUGAAUUAUAUAACAAGAUUCCUUUCAGACUGCAUCAGCAUUCAGUUAUAUAACACUAAAAAACCCAACAGUUGAGAGAUCUGGGAAAGAUUCUGACAUAGCAAGGAAGUAAUUUUUUCACUGUUUAUUUUCAAAUGCUUGGGAAGCUUCAGAAGUGAAAAUGAGGGAGAAAACUGCAAGAAUGAAUUUUCCCUCUGAGUAUCUAGUGCCUGCUCACUCCAUCAGGUACUCCCAGGAACUCCUUGGGCACCUACCAGGUAGGGCCUUGCUCAGGGUGCCAGAGAUGAAGACAGGUGCACUCCCCACUGGUCCUAAAGAGGUCUGAAGUCCCAAGGGAGAAAGAUCUCCAGAUAAAAAGAAGGAAUGCAGUGUGGCCAGUGGUCUGUAUGAUGAGUCCACACCAGGGAACAACGACGCCUUCCCAAAGGUCCAGUUGAACCGAAGGUCUGUGGACAUUUUCAGGGUGAGCAAAAGAAAAAUAAAUUUCUGGGAGGAGAUCUGUGCACAAGUGGUGGUGGCCAGCAUGUCGUGUGGGGUGUAAGGUAAAAAGGUCUUCUGCGUGUAUGCCACGCCCCAGGCAUGUCAUGCUAAGGGCAUCCUGUCAGGGGCUUUGAACUUUACCAUGAAAUUUGUAGGUGUCUUUUUUUUUUUUUUUUUUAGAGCUAGGGACCCAACCUAGGGACACUGUAUCACUGAGCUACAUCCCGGCCCUUUUUAUUUUUUCUUUUGAGACAGUCUUGCUAAGUUGCUGAGGCUGUCCUCAAACUUGUGAUUUUCCUGCCUCAGCCCCUGAAUACCUAGGACUACAGGUGCAUGCCACCAUGUCCAGAAAUUUGAAGGGUAAGGGGGUGACAUUUUGUGUUGUAGGAAGAUGCCACCAGUAGUGUGAGGGGGAUGAACUGGAGAGAGGAAGGCAGGAGUGCCACCAGCAAGGGGAACUACUCCAGUCUCCAGGUGACAAAGUCCUGGACCCAAGCAAUAGCAGUGAGAGGCUUGGGAUAGAGUCAGGUGGUGGUGAUGGCACCCAGUGGGUGCCUUAUUGGUAUCCCAUAGACCAUGAAUGUUUCUUGAAUAAAUGAAUGAAUGAAUCCUAGACUCCUCCAUUAUCAGGGCUGUAAGGGAACCCUUGAGCCCAGUUCACCAUUUUCAGGUCCAGAGAAUCCUCGAAACGCAGUGGCUCCAGGUACAGCUGCACACUGGCAGGCUGGGUUCACACCUCUAUGCUCUGUAGAUGGCAUCCUUGGAUUGGUCGUCUCAGCAGCCGCACAGUUGACAAGACUCUGGGUUACUAAAACACCACUGAGCCGGGAGAGAAUUGGGAGAUUGAUGAGAAGGGGUUUGAAACCCCUCAGAGAAGCUGGUCUUUCUUCAGAGCAUUUGAAAGAAUGACCCAGAGAACAGAGAAAAGGCUUGCUUGACUGUGGGCCUAAAUAGCAAUGUUAGUUUUUGCAGGAAGGCGGGAAGAAAGCCUUUAAGUUCCUAAGGUCUGACAUUUAGGAGGGCAGAGGUGUUCUCCAUCAGAAAACAUCAGAACUAAGUGGUAAUUCACCUCUUAAACACCCACUUCUACUAAUUGUAAUCUCUGUUGACUACAAUGUUGUAAAAUCUGAUUAUGUGUAUCCCUCAAUCAUUCUGAAUAUCAUAUGUAUUUUAAUGAACACUUGGGUCUCAGAGGUGUAUUAACUCUUUCCACCUUCAUUCCAUAUUUUAAAUAUAUUUUUAUUCUUAAUUAGUGUAUAGUAAUCAUACAUAUUUAUAGGGUAUGGUGUGAUAUUUCAGUACAUGUGUAGAGUAUAUAAUAGAUCAAGGUAAUCAGCAUAUCUACCACAACAGAUAAAUAUCUCUUAAUUGUGUUGGGGGACAUUUAAAAUCCUUUCUACUAGCUAUUUUGAAGUAUACAGUUAAUUCUUUAGUUUUUAUUCUGCUGUGCUGUAGAACAUUGGAAGUUAUUCCUCCUGAUGUGCACGCCUAUAAUCCCAGAGGCUCUGGAGGCUGAGGCAGGAGGAUGGCAAGUUCAAAGCCAGCCUCAAGAAAAGCGAGGUACUAAGCAACUCAGCGAGACCCUGUCUCUCAAUAAAAUAAAAAAUAGGGCUAGAAUGUGGCUCAGUGAUCAAGUGCCCUGAGUUCAAUCCCCAGUACCCGCUCCCCCCAGAAAAAAGUUAUUCCUCCUAUCUAGCUGCACCCCUGUGCCCACUAACCAUCCUCUCCCCAUCCCUCCUCCAUCCACCAUAAUUGUUAUCCAUUUCUACAAAUGAGAAAGAGGAAACAGAGGCACAGAGCAAUUAUGUAACUUGACAAAAGCCUCCAGUUAUGGAAGAGCAGAGACUAGAACCCAGUCAUUCCCAGACCCAUUUCCUGCCCAGACGGCUGUGGCACCUGGGACUUCUGCUUGGUGUUGACUUUCUGCCCUUCCUUCCGCCGGCCUCUGUAGCUGUGGCUCCUGGCUGUGGUCAGCCACCCCACCACCCACCUUUCUCUGUAUCCUCCAGCUCUCCCUCGCCAGACCCCACCUCUCUGAGCUGCUGCAGUUGGGGAAGGAGAAGCAAUGUCAGGGCCCAAUGGGUUUCAUAGAAGGACAAGCUUCUGAUUUAAGGCCUGGCCAGGUUCCUCCAUGGCCUGGACAGUCGUGGCUGCAGUCACCACCUUCAUGGCAAUUAUCUUAGCUGGGCAGGUGAUCUCUUCUUAUGGCUUACAUCCUAGUUCCUGGUGGCCUUCUGAUAUACUGGGUGCUGGAUAUGAAUGAAAUAUUGUCACGAUGUAUCUAAAACUGGGAAUUUUAACAAAUAAUUUUUAGAAGUAAAUCAAUAAUUUUAAAAACUGAGACUUGGGGUAUACUAAGUGGUAGAAUGCUUGCCUACCAUAAGCACAAGGCCCUGGGUUUGAGCCCCCAGCACUGCAAAAAAUAAAAAAUAAAAAAAACUCUCCAAACAUGGAGAUUUUCAGCCUCAUGAAUUGAGAUAAGUUACCCAUUAUGUUGGGUAGAAGUCUCUGUCCAUUAAACUCUUCUUUAUAGGUGAACCAUACAUUGAUAAUAAGAUACUAGGUCAGAGGAUAUUCUCUCUGUUUGUAAGCCUAGGAAGAGUUAUGAACAGAUUUGAUGUAACACACACACGUAAAGCUCUCCAUUGGGGUCACACUACAAAUCUCCAUGACCAGGAAAUUUAGGAUCUCAUCAGAAGAUACAGGAUUAACAGUCCUUGGCCACAGGAAAACCUGUGACAGUCUGUGCAUCCAGGUUUAUGUUGGGGACAUUUAAAAUUCUUUCUACUAGCUAUUUUGAAGUAUACAGUUUAUUGUUUAGUUUUUAUUCUGCUGUGUUCAUUAAAAUAUAACACAUGAGACAGUUUAACGAAUAGCCAGAACAUCCCUGUUGUCCAGUCUAGUUCCAUAAAUUCUGGUAUUGAUGUGGAUCAGCUAGAGAAAACAUUUCCCUGGGUGUAGCUUUAAGUGUUAGUGCCUGCUCGUUGGAGAGAUGCUCCCCAAAUAAUUUAGCUUUCUUGCAAAUACUGUGUGUACUGAAAGGAGAGAGAAAAAGAAAUGUGUUAGGCUCAUACUUUGUGUUAAGGUCUGUAUUCAGUGUAUAAAAAUUCAUCAUCUCAUUUCCUUUAUCUGUAACAGCCUUUUGAAAUAGAUAUCACUUUCUCCCUUUUACAGAUGAAGCCAUUUUGGCCCAGAGAGAUUAGAAACUCUUCCAAAGUCACGCAGCCAAUAUACAGGGAGUCUGAGUUUAAACCUGUCUGCCAGGCUUCAGUCUGUUAGAUGAAUAUUCUCCACCCAAAAUGUUCAUGUCUUUUCCAUUUUUCUCCAGAUGUUUAAGAGGAAAAGCAGAUCUAACACUUUGAAUGAUUCUACUUAUAACAAUGAUGCUAAUGGCUUCCUGUUGUUUCAGAGUGUAUCGUUUUAAAAAUCCAUCAAUCCCUAGUAUUUUUUAAUUCUGUCACUUUUAUUCCAGCAAGACUUUAUUUAUCAAGAAACUCUUGCUCUCAUCCUAUCCCUCAAAUGUCAGUUUUAGCAGCUUACUCAUUCACGUGUGUAUGCUUUGGGAUCGUACCAUUUCUACUAAAAGUUGUGAAGAUUCAUAAUUGUUCAUUUAGCACA